Molecule: long non-coding RNA, 1486 nt
Organism: Columba livia (rock pigeon)
Lineage: Eukaryota; Metazoa; Chordata; Aves; Columbiformes; Columbidae
Exons: 3
Source: RefSeq, a predicted model, not a curated record
ACAGGCAUUUGCAGGAUUUCAGAACACUUGAAAGUAAAGAAGCAGAAACUUUGCAAGAUCAAGGGUCCUUAAGAGAAGAGACACCGCGCAUCCUACGGGUUUAUUUGAGCUUUCUGUUCAAGACGGUGACUUGACCCCAGACCACUGAAGAGCCGAUCUCAUCCCACACAGCAGUACUGGAAAACUGGAGUCACUCUGCAGCUGUGCUGGGACCUGCUCUGCACAGCCAGUGAUGCCACUGACGGCUUUUAGAUAGAAGGAAACGGAGGCUAACGAGCAAAGAAAAUUUCUUGCUCCGCAUUGUUUUUGGAGACUAUUUCUGGCAGACAGGAAGGACUCGUAAAAUCACCAUCAAACUUAUUUUAGCUAAUUCCAUACGUGAGUCGAAGUAUUCCAGAGGUGUGCAUCAAGCCUCGGAGACCUGAUGGCAAAUUUUGUUCCCUGAUUAGACACAGAAAUAAAAGUAUGACACUCUAGGGGCUGCCUGGAAGUGCUUUCCUACAAACAGUGGGGAAAACAGCUUUCAGAUGAUACACAAGAAUAUUUACGGGAGUGGGUCCAAAUAUUGUAUUCUAAAAUGAAUACUUUGAUAAUCAUAACAAUGUGCUUUGAAAAGUAUCACUUUAAAAGGUCAGCUAUACCACCCUCUGACUGCACAUUGAAAGCAUAGCGGAUACAUUGAGUCAUACAUAUUGUUCAUUGUCAUUUGCAUUUGGUGAAAUCCCUGCAUUUUACCCAAUUUAGUAAGCCAGCACCGCCUUGGGCUCCCUUGGCAAUACUCACCUCUAAAUGCAGUUACUGUUUGUUGUGCUAAAACAGCAUCUCAUCCCAUCCCACACCACUAAAUCACUCUUCGGGCUUUUGAUCAAUGUUUUCAAGCCUGUGAGUCAUUUUGCAUUAACGGAAAGAGAGGGAGCGGCACACUACAGCAAUGCGGGUAUUUUGAGAUUCACAUCUGAGAUACUUUUGUGUGUGUUGUUCUGAACAAAAUGACCAUCUGUAUCGGUUUGCAGACAGCCACUGGUGCAUCGCAAGACCUGACUUCGUAUUUGUGUGGAUAAAGACCGGCUUAAUUCAACAAACACCAUGUAGCAUCAUCAGGCUACGUGUCAUAAAAAGGCCUUACAAAAAUCAAAUACAGUUUUUGCAUUCCAGCCUUUAUUUUUAAAAUCAUCCUCGGAAUGUGACCUCACGGCCUUUUCCUUAUUUUUUGCACAUCACCGAGUUAGGGACUGUUCGACUUUCCAAUAGUCAUGUGAGUGAUAUUUCCAACCAGAAUACAGUGGAAGCUGUCCUCACCCUUCCGGGGGCUACACCUGAAGAGUACGCAAAUUUUGUGGGUGUUUAAACCUUCUUUUAUUUUCUAUGAGCAAUGUAAAAAUGACUCAUUCGUGCUUCAGCUGGAAUGUAUAGUUUGUAAACACCAGCAGGGAGCAAUCAUAUUUCUAGCUUUGUAAAUAAAACCAGUCCAAACUGCGUUGAGCGU